Mugil cephalus (flathead mullet) is the source of this 2998-nucleotide long non-coding RNA. RefSeq lists it as uncharacterized. The record is from RefSeq and is a predicted model, not a curated record. The transcript is spliced from 2 exons. Lineage: Eukaryota; Metazoa; Chordata; Actinopteri; Mugiliformes; Mugilidae.
GCCAAAAAAAGAGAGACUUUUUCUCGGUUCCCCUCCGUAUCCGCUCUGGGUCGUGGUGCUGCAUAAACCCCACCCUGGCUGGGUGCGUCGACGUACAGUGGGGCGGUGUCUAGCUAGCAGUGCCACGAACGACUGUGGUCAACGUCUCAAACCCUGCUCACGAUCCAACAUCAGCUUUCCACGGAGCAGCCAGGCUUUCAAAUGUCACUGAGAUGACUCAAAGUCGUGGCAAAAAUCCAACACGGACGCUUGCACAAGGUAUGUAAGAGAAAGUGGCAGUGGUAAGAAUGAGAAUUUAGGUUUCCACAUCACAUCGGUAGCGCUAACUCUUACAUCUGGCUCAUUUUCCUGAAUAAACAAACACACAGGUGUAAUAUUUUAAUUUAAUUCGUUAAAUUGGGUUCUCUGUGUCAGCUUCUUUUGUAUUUCACAGUGAUCACUUAGUGGUUGGAGGGUAUUUGGAUCAAAACUGCUUAUUAACAUUGACAUCUGCAUUCUGAUGGAUUUUGGAAGACAUGAUUUACUAAUACUUAUAAUUAUAAUAACAGGUGACUGACUUACUAAAGGCUUGUUACAAAAAUACAUUACACAAUUUAUUCAAGUCAUAAGUGCAAACGCCAAAAGUGUGAAAGAAUUUGUGCUUUAAUAAUAAUAAGAAGAAGAACAUUAACAGAGAGUCCUCAUUGUUGGUGCUGUUAAUUGGUGUUGAUCAUAUCUGACAAAAAAUAAACCAGUAAAUAAAACUGCUGUAAGAAUGGGAACAGUUAUUAAAUAAAACAGUGAAAAUAAUUGAAAUUAAAGUCAGUUGAAUGUUUUUUAACCAUUAUAAUGUUCAUAACUGUAUUACUAAUAGAUCAGUCGUUUCAUUACCAAAGUGUUUGAUAUAAAUUGGGAACAUAUGAGUCAAACAAAAGAACUAGAACUAUUAAUAUUACGCUACAGUUUUGAUUGAAAGUCUAAUGGCCACAUUGUGAUUUGUACAUUUUUACUAUUCUGUGUUUCGCACACAGCCGGUCAAAGUCAGGUAUGAAUGGGUUAGAGGUCAUAUCAUAAUUCCUCUGCAGUGAUGUCAAGGAAGUGUUAAAUAUGUAGAAAUGGUGCCAUCAUGUGGCGCUUCUCGGACACAGGGAAAUGCACAGCAUUUCUGCUUGUGUGCUUUAUAGUAUAAACUUUGACACUUGACAUCCCCAAAUGAGCACAUGAAUUCCCCAGAGUGACUGACAGCCGGUCUCCCAACUACCCAAAUGCAGAGUAUGCCUUUUUUUUUUUUUUUUGAUUACACUGUUUAUUUUAUUUUACUAGAUAAUAUUUUAUUUUAUUUUAUUUUAUUUAAAUCAAACCUAAUCUAAUCUUGUGGUGUUACUUUUGCAACAAAUCUACUGUGACCGAGUAAUCUCCCUUGAUUUUCCCUCGGACCAUUAAAGCCGGUCUAAAUCUAAGUCUAAUCCAGGGUUCAUAUCCGGACUCGGUGGAGCAGUUGGUUGAGAGGACGACGGUGGCCAAACUGUCAAACAACUCCUCUCACCCACCUGUAUGAGACUAAUGGGGUCUUAGGGAGUUCCUUCAGCCAGACAGUGGUGCAACCACAGAGCAAGAGGGACCACAGCCACUGUAAACUCUUUAACAUCAGCAUUUCUUAGCCAUGCUGCUGACUUUCCUCCGCACCUAAAGGACCACGGACACCCCCUGGACAAUACAUCUGCCUGCAUCUCAGGAAUGUUACUUAUAUAUUUUGUCAUUUCUGUUCAAUAACACUGUGUUUUAAAUGUUCUAGCAUCCCUCAAGGUUUUCUGCAUUUAAGCAUAAAAAUGACUUGAACAUUACCAGAUCGUGUCAUUUCUGUGCAAUAUCUGUUUUCUUAAGAGCAAUACUCCUCUUAAAGUGAUGCCCACUCUGUAUAUCCAGCCUCUGCCACUUCAAACACUGUUCUCUUUUUCAUCUAACUCUCCUGUGGUUGUUCUUUCACCAAACUGUAGGUAGUUGGUUGCUUAAGCUUGAUACAUCACCUGUAAACAUUUCUUGUACAUUUGUUAAUGUAUUUUCUUGCACAUUGUUGUUUUGUGACCUUUUUUUUUUUCCAUUGCCCACACAAUGUAACACCGUACAUUUCCCCUUGCAGAUCAAUAAAGUCAUGUUACCUUAAAUUUAAUGUCUUUUUUAAAUAUAUGUAACAAAAUCAGAGUAUUUUACACCUGUUUUCAUUAACAUAUUGUAGAAGUGACAAUGCACUUGACUUGAAUCUUAAGAAUGCCAUUUCAACAGUGAGACUAUGGGCUUGUUUCGCUGUCAAUACAUUGACUGGAAUCUAAUUUGGCCUUGAACUUGUAGUCCUAGAGGUGCACUUACUUUCCUACCCCACUGAUAUGUAAUCUUGGCUCAUUUUUCCAAAAACAAUCAACAACAAUAACAAAAAAACAAAUACACAAGUGUUUCUGUUUCAUUUGUUUAACUGGGUUCUCUUGGUCUACUUUUCAGGCAACAUGUAGAGUACUGUAUUUUGUACUUUCAACGAUAAAUAAUCAUACUGACACCACACAUGUUCAAUGUCCAUUUAUUCAGAAUCUAUGUGUUUAUACAAAUUGUUAAGAUAAAAUUCAUCUGAUGAGACCUCAGUACAUUCAUAUCUAUAUAGAAUAAAUAAUCUUACAGUUUGUACUGUACAUUGCCAUCAACACUGCAAAAGACCAUGUGAUCUCUGAGACAGGCUGUACAAACAUGGACCACACAAUUAAUGUUGCAGUCAUACCCACUCACAGCGGCACGGUUUGAAGCUGGUAUGAGCUGUACAAUUAAAAAGAAUCUGUACAUUAUUGGAUGAAAAGCUUUGUCUACAGUUUAUACAUGCUUGUUGUAAGGCUUCUCAAGAAUUAAGUCCCCUUUACUACAACUGUUCUGACUGAUCCAUGUGUUCAAGUCUAUGAGCCAGUCAAACAAUCAACAGGAACAUAAACACAACAAGACUGUCAUUUUUAAGGCUGAUAUUUUUUUUCUGCCUGAG